This 229-nucleotide long non-coding RNA is filed under the name Lathyrus oleraceus (garden pea). RNAcentral describes it as "Pisum sativum (pea) long non-coding RNA (PSAT_LNC036635)". Lineage: Eukaryota; Viridiplantae; Streptophyta; Magnoliopsida; Fabales; Fabaceae. The record is from RNAcentral.
AUUAUAUAAAACUAAAUUAAAUUAAUAAACUAAAAAAUCUAACAAAAAAUUAAAAAUAAAACAAAUAAACGUGGGUGGGGGCGCCUCACCUUUCAUUUAGUAAACAACAAAACCCCAUUUACUUUGAAAAAUAAGAAGAAGAAAAAUAAGCCAUCCUAUCAUAUGGUGACAAGUGGCGGUGAAUUUAAAAAAAACAAAAUAAAAAAAAACUACUUAAAUUGAAUAAAGG